AUUGAACGCUGGCGGCAGGCUUAACACAUGCAAGUCGAACGGCAGCGCGGGCUUCGGCCUGGCGGCGAGUGGCGAACGGGUGAGUAAUGCAUCGGAACGUGCCCGGUAGUGGGGGAUAGCGCGGCGAAAGCCGGAUUAAUACCGCAUACGACCUGAGGGUGAAAGCGGGGGACCGAAAGGCCUCGCGCUAUUGGAGCGGCCGAUGUCGGAUUAGCUAGUUGGUGGGGUAAAGGCUUACCAAGGCGACGAUCCGUAGCUGGUCUGAGAGGACGAUCAGCCACACUGGAACUGAGACACGGCCCAGACUCCUACGGGAGGCAGCAGUGGGGAAUUUUGGACAAUGGGCGCAACCCUGAUCCAGCCAUGCCGCGUGUGGGAAGAAGGCCUUCGGGUUGUAAACCGCUUUUGUUCGGGAAGAAAGCCUCUGGGCUAAUACCCCGCGGGGAUGACGGUACCGGAAGAAUAAGCACCGGCUAACUACGUG
RNAcentral lists this ribosomal RNA (484 nucleotides) under uncultured bacterium. RNAcentral's name for it is "partial 16S ribosomal RNA". It matches the Rfam family "Bacterial small subunit ribosomal RNA", at positions 29 to 507 of the family's 1533-position model. The record is from RNAcentral.